RNAcentral lists this ribosomal RNA (440 nucleotides) under uncultured bacterium. Its description in RNAcentral is "bacterial SSU rRNA". It matches the Rfam family "Bacterial small subunit ribosomal RNA", at positions 28 to 507 of the family's 1533-position model. The record is from RNAcentral.
GAUGAACGCUGGCGGUAUGCCUAACACAUGCAAGUCGUACGAGAGUUUUUAACUCUAGUGGCGGACGGGUGAGUAACACGUGAGAAUUUGCCUUUAGGAGGGGGAUAACAAUUGGAAACGAAUGCUAAUACCCCAUAUGCUUUUGAGUGAAAUGGAUUUUAUCCGCCUAGAGAGAAGCUCGCGGCUGAUUAGCUUGUUGGUAAGGUAAGAGCUUACCAAGGCGACGAUCAGUAUCUGGUUUGAGAGGACGAUCAGACACACUGGAACUGAGACACGGUCCAGACUCCUACGGGAGGCAGCAGUGGGGAAUUUUCCGCAAUGGGCGAAAGCCUGACGGAGCAAUACCGCGUGAGGGAAGACUGCCUAUGGGUUGUAAACCUCUUUUUUCAGGGAGGAAUAAAUGACGUGUACCUGAAGAAUAAGCAUCGGCUAACUCCGUG